This 377-nucleotide ribosomal RNA is filed under the name uncultured bacterium. Its description in RNAcentral is "bacterial SSU rRNA". It matches the Rfam family "Bacterial small subunit ribosomal RNA", at positions 790 to 1167 of the family's 1533-position model. The record is from RNAcentral.
GUAGUCCAUGCCGUAAACGGUGGGCGCUAGGUGUAGGGGUCUUCCACGACUUCUGUGCCGUAGCUAACGCAUUAAGCGCCCCGCCUGGGGAGUACGGCCGCAAGGCUAAAACUCAAAGGAAUUGACGGGGGCCCGCACAAGCGGCGGAGCAUGUGGAUUAAUUCGAUGCAACGCGAAGAACCUUACCUGGGCUUGACAUGUACGGGACCGCCGCAGAGAUGUGGCUUCCCUUGUGGCUCGUAUACAGGUGGUGCAUGGUUGUCGUCAGCUCGUGUCGUGAGAUGUUGGGUUAAGUCCCGCAACGAGCGCAACCCUUGUCUUAUGUUGCCAGCACGUAAUGGUGGGGACUCGUGAGAAACUGCCGGGGUCAACUCGGA